CCGAGUUUGGGACCCUUUGGGUACCAUCUCCCACCAUUUGUGAACCUUUUUUCGUUGCCUCGGCGGGUCUGAUGUACCCAUCCUCUGGCUUUUGCUGGGGAGUACCUGCCGAUGGAUUUUCAAACCAGUCUUUAACCUACAAUCUGAGUUAAACAAAAUAAAAACA
Molecule: unclassified non-coding RNA, 166 nt
Filed under: uncultured fungus
Lineage: Eukaryota; Fungi
Description: sequence contains ITS1, 5.8S rRNA gene
Source: RNAcentral